RNAcentral lists this long non-coding RNA (209 nucleotides) under Salvia miltiorrhiza (redroot sage). RNAcentral describes it as "long non-coding RNA (SMIL_LNC012231)". The record is from RNAcentral. Lineage: Eukaryota; Viridiplantae; Streptophyta; Magnoliopsida; Lamiales; Lamiaceae.
ACCGUAGAAGGUGGCCACCUUCUCGGCACACAGUUAUCAUUGCAGAUAUGGUAGAGUACAAAGAAGUAUGUCUGCAGACGCAUGUGAAGUUUAUGAUAAUUACAGGGAAGUUUUACAGUUUUGCAUGCACAGGUUAUUUAAAUAAAACUCCUGUGUGAUGCUUGAGAUGGCAAGUUCAAUAUAUAGCUCUAAGAGCAAGCUUUAAAGUU